This 497-nucleotide ribosomal RNA is filed under the name uncultured bacterium. RNAcentral describes it as "partial 16S ribosomal RNA". It matches the Rfam family "Bacterial small subunit ribosomal RNA", at positions 28 to 507 of the family's 1533-position model. The record is from RNAcentral.
GACGAACGCUGGCGGCGUGCCUAAUACAUGCAAGUAGAACGCUGAGGAGAGGAGCUUGCUCUUCUUGGAUGAGUUGCGAACGGGUGAGUAACGCGUAGGUAACCUGCCUUGUAGCGGGGGAUAACUAUUGGAAACGAUAGCUAAUACCGCAUAACAAUGGAUGACACAUGUCAUUUAUUUGAAAGGGGCAAUUGCUCCACUACAAGAUGGACCUGCGUUGUAUUAGCUAGUAGGUGAGGUAAUGGCUCACCUAGGCGACGAUACAUAGCCGACCUGAGAGGGUGAGCGGCCAGACUGGGACGGAGACACGGCACAGACUCCUACGGGAGGCAGCAGUAGGGAAUCGGCGGCAAGGGGGGGAAACCUGAGCGAGCAACGCCGCGUGAGUGAAGAAGGUUUUCGGAUCGUAAAGCUCGGUUGUAAGUCAAGAACGGGUGUGAGAGUGGAAAGUUCACACUGUGACGGUAGCUUACCAGAAAGGGACGGCUAACUACGUG